AUUUAGCCAGCACCCUCAAGCAAAGAGACCUUUAGUUUGAAACCCCGAAACCAGGUGAGCUACCCCGAGACAGCCUAUAUUAUUUAGGGCUAACCCGUCUCUGUGGCAAAAGAGUGGGAAGAGCUCCGGGUAGAAGUGACAGACCUACCGAACCUGGUGAUAGCUGGUUAUCUGAGAAGUGGAUAGAAGUUCAGCCUCAUACGCCCCAGAUCAAUACAUACAUUAUUAAGAUACUCAAGGGAGAUAUAUGAGAGUUAGUUGAAAGGGGUACAGCCCUUUUAACAAAGGAUACAACCUUUACAGGAGGAUAAAGAUCAUAAUAUAUAAAACAUACUGUUUUAGUGGGCCUAAAAGCAGCCACCUAAAUAGAAAGCGUUAAAGCUCAGACAGAAAGAAGUUUAUUAUACCGAUAAAAAAUCUUAUUCCCCUAAUUAUAUCAGAUCAACCCAUGCCCGCAUGGAAGAGAUUAUGCUAGAAUGAGUAACAAGAAGACCUGCGCUUCUCCUUGCACAAGUGUAAACCAGAUCGGACAAACCACUGGAACUUAACGAACCCAACCCAAGAGGGCAAUGUGAACAACAAAAAUUUCAGGAAGAACUCACAGUUAAAAUGAUCGUUAAUCCCACACUGGAGUGCUAUUUUAUAAAGGAAAGACUAAAGGAUAGGGAAGGAACUCGGCAAACACAA
RNAcentral lists this ribosomal RNA (687 nucleotides) under Ptychocheilus umpquae (Umpqua pikeminnow). RNAcentral's name for it is "partial 16S ribosomal RNA". It matches the Rfam family "Bacterial large subunit ribosomal RNA", at positions 618 to 1726 of the family's 2925-position model. Lineage: Eukaryota; Metazoa; Chordata; Actinopteri; Cypriniformes; Leuciscidae. The record is from RNAcentral.